UUUGCAUAUUUCCAAAGCGGAGGAAAGGAAACCAACCGGGAUUGCCUUAGUAACGGCGAGUGAAGCGGCAAAAGCUCAAAUUUGAAAUCUGGUACCUUCGGUGCCCGAGUUGUAAUUUGGAGAGGGCAACUUUGGGGCCGUUCCUUGUCUAUGUUCCUUGGAACAGGACGUCAUAGAGGGUGAGAAUCCCGUGUGGCGAGGAGUGCGGUUCUUUGUAAAGUGCCUUCGAAGAGUCGAGUUGUUUGGGAAUGCAGCUCUAAGUGGGUGGUAAAUUCCAUCUAAAGCUAAAUAUUGGCGAGAGACCGAUAGCGAACAAGUACAGUGAUGGAAAGAUGAAAAGAACUUUGAAAAGAGAGUGAAAAAGUACGUGAAAUUGUUGAAAGGGAAGGGCAUUUGAUCAGACAUGGUGUUUUGUGCCCUCUGCUCCUUGUGGGUAGGGGAAUCUCGCAUUUCACUGGGCCAGCAUCAGUUUUGGUGGCAGGAUAAAUCCAUAGGAAUGUAGCUUGCCUCGGUAAGUAUUAUAGCCUGUGGGAAUACUGCCAGCUGGGACUGAGGACUGCGACGUAAGUCAAGGAUGCUGGCAUAAUGGUUAUAUGCCGCCCGUCUUGAACCACGGACCA
Molecule: ribosomal RNA, 620 nt
Filed under: Saccharomyces cerevisiae (brewer's yeast)
Lineage: Eukaryota; Fungi; Ascomycota; Saccharomycetes; Saccharomycetales; Saccharomycetaceae
Description: eukaryotic LSU rRNA
Rfam family: Eukaryotic large subunit ribosomal RNA
Source: RNAcentral